Molecule: ribosomal RNA, 498 nt
Filed under: uncultured Desulfobulbus sp.
Lineage: Bacteria; Pseudomonadati; Thermodesulfobacteriota; Desulfobulbia; Desulfobulbales; Desulfobulbaceae
Description: bacterial SSU rRNA
Rfam family: Bacterial small subunit ribosomal RNA
Source: RNAcentral
CCCGCUCAGAACUUAAAGGAAGUUGACGGGGCCCGCACAAGCGGUGGAGUAUGUGGUUUAAUUCGAUGCAACGCGAAGAACCUUACCUGGUCUUGACAUCCCGGAGACCCUUAGGAAACUAGGGGUGCUUCCAUCUGGAAGAAUCUGGAGACAGGUGCUGCAUGGCUGUCGUCAGCUCGUGUCGUGAGAUGUUGGGUUAAGUCCCGCAACGAGCGCAACCCUUGCCUUUAGUUGCCAGCAGUUCGGCUGGGCACUCUAAAGGGACUGCCGGUGUUAAACCGGAGGAAGGUGGGGAUGACGUCAAGUCCUCAUGGCCUUUAUGACCAGGGCUACACACGUACUACAAUGGCCGAUACAAAGGGCAGCGACACUGCGAGGUGAAGCCAAUCCCGUAAAAUCGGUCUCAGUCCGGAUUGGAGUCUGCAACUCGACUCCAUGAAGUUGGAAUCGCUAGUAAUCGUGGAUCAGCAUGCCACGGUGAAUACGUUCCCGGGCCUU